UGAUCCUGGCUCAGGAUGAACGCUAGCGGCAGGCCUAAUACAUGCAAGUCGAGCGGUAGAGAUGCUUUCGGGUGUCUUGAGAGCGGCGCACGGGUGCGUAACACGUAUGCAACCUACCUUAUACAGGGGGAUAGCCCGGAGAAAUCCGGAUUAAUACCCCAUGGCAUCAUUUAACUGCAUGGUUUGAUGAUUAAAGAUUUAUCGGUAUAAGAUGGGCAUGCGUCUGAUUAGCUAGUUGGUGGGGUAAUGGCCCACCAAGGCGACGAUCAGUAGGGGUUCUGAGAGGAAGGUCCCCCACACUGGCACUGAGAUACGGGCCAGACUCCUACGGGAGGCAGCAG
This 341-nucleotide ribosomal RNA is filed under the name uncultured Nitzschia. RNAcentral's name for it is "partial Bacterial small subunit ribosomal RNA". It matches the Rfam family "Bacterial small subunit ribosomal RNA", at positions 14 to 354 of the family's 1533-position model. Lineage: Eukaryota; Bacillariophyta; Bacillariophyceae; Bacillariales; Bacillariaceae. The record is from RNAcentral.